UUGAUAGAUGAUGAGGGCAAUGAGUCUUAGAGAGGUUAAAUAAUUUGCUAAAGGCCACACAGCCUGUAAAGUGGCAGAAGCUGGGACCAUCCAACUCUAAAGCCCACAUUCUUAGACAUUAGGGGAUAUUGAAUGAAGUGUGUGUAUGUAUGGGGGAAUUUAAGAGAAUAUCAAACCAUUUGUAGAGUUCUACCCAAUAUAGAGACCUUAUCUAAUGUAAGAGAACUCUGAAGACAUCUCAUUGAUUGAAUGCUCUCCCCUUCAUAGCAACUUCUUCUGCGGCUUCCUUGCCUGGUGCUCCAGUCUUUGAGGGAAGCACGGCUGGCACGUUCUUCCGUUUGGAGACAUGGUUGACAAUUUCUCCAUAAUGGGGACACAACUGGCAAUUUUCCUACAGAGUGAGGCAGAUGGCAAUUUUCCUUCAGAGACAUGCAGGCAACAGUUUUGCCCCUGGAGAGAAAAGCCUCGCCGAUUGAGAUGCAGCCAGUAAUUUUUACUAUACAGAAGACACAUCCAAUAAUUUUGCCCAGUGAGAGAAACGGCCAACAAUUUUCCCACAGAGGACAGGAAAAACAGACCAAAAAUUCAUAGUGGGGAGAAGUGAGGAGCAAAUGGGCUGGUAUGACCAAGAAAGACUUAAUAAGAAGCUGAGCCUUAAAUGAUCAAGAAGCACUGGAUAGAUAAGAGGAAUAAUCAUUUAUUAGCCAAGCGGGACUGGUGCCUUUUUGAGAACUGUCAUUCUGGAAAGAUAUUGAUUGAAGGAGGCCUCUGAGCACAUUCUCUCCAGCAGGCAGCCGUAAGGGAGGCGGCUGCAGUCCAGACAAGAUGAUGAGUUGGCAGUGAGCAUCUCGACAGGAGCCUAAUGAAGAAAUCUGGUAGCUUUGUGCAGUUACUCCAAGAGAAGCCCGAACUCCCUGGGGAGCCUCUGCCCAGGUGGAAGAGCUCUCGAGUGGCUAUUAUUAGGGGUGAUUGCUGGGAAGCUGGUUGCCAUGGCACCGCAGAGGCCAGUGCUGAACUCCCAAGCUGCCCCGUUUCCAAGGCUGUCUACAUAAUCACUGCAAUGAGAGGCACAGGCACAGAAAGGGAGAGAGGAGCAGCUCCCCACUGACAGUGAUCUCCCUGCAGAGCAAGGUUCCUGGAGUUUGCAAACAUCGAGUAGUGAUAGUCUUCCAUCUGCCAGGCACUGCGCUAAACUCUUUAUGGAGACAAAGAAAUGAUGCUCAGAGAGUCAUUUGCCCUUGGUCACAGGCUAAGAAGAGGCAGAGCUAGGACGUAAACCCAACUCUGGCUCUAUGGCAUCUCAUAUAGCAUCAUUUUUCCUCCAGUCCUCUGACUAGAAAGGGUGGCCCCUUCAACCUGGUGCUGAGAACAGACACUGGCGGCCCCACACCUCUGAAGGCAUGGUUCCAGCAAAUAGAAAUUGGACUGGCAAGGAUUAAACCGCUGGUUUGGGCUUCAUUAGCUAUGUGAUCUCACCAACCACAGAGAAUUAACCAGAGUGGAGCCAUCUCUUUACAGACUUAACACAAUGUACCGAGGCAAUGUGGAGAACAGUCACUGAAUUUAUUGAGCACCUACUACCUGCUCCAGACAUGCCAUUAACACGUGGGCUAUCCUUCCCUUCCACAGUCACUCUAGAACUUGAGGCCACUGUCCUCUGAUGCAGAGAGAAGAAACAUUUUAUAAUCACUGUAGACAAUAAAGGCUUUAUCUGUUAGCAA
Molecule: long non-coding RNA, 1721 nt
Filed under: Homo sapiens (human)
Lineage: Eukaryota; Metazoa; Chordata; Mammalia; Primates; Hominidae
Description: HSALNT0330051
Source: RNAcentral